This 5285-nucleotide long non-coding RNA is filed under the name Medicago truncatula (barrel medic). RNAcentral's name for it is "long non-coding RNA (MTRU_LNC000014)". Lineage: Eukaryota; Viridiplantae; Streptophyta; Magnoliopsida; Fabales; Fabaceae. The record is from RNAcentral.
AUAUGUACAUACACUUGAUAGAAAAUAAGUUAUAUAGGGGCGUGAGAGCACCAAUAAUGGACUCAAUUCUAGAGAAUGUCCAAAUUCCCACACCUUGACAUGAUGUGGCAACUGCAGCACUGCACCGAAGCAAUAGAACUUACACUUUCAUCUGGUAAUAUUAUCUUUUUGAUUUCUAUAUUUCAUUUCCGUAACCACUGCCAUAAAAAAUGCAUUUUUAUACUAACUGUCGCAUAAUGGAUUUGUCAUGUGUGAUUAUGAACCUUAAGCAUUGCUUGAUUAAAUUACCAUUAUAUAUUUUAUAUUUAAACUUAAGGCCUGCAAAUAUUAUUUUAUAGUCAUGAAAGGAAUCACUUGAAUUGUUUGGAUUAGAUUAAAUUUUUAUGGGAAAAAAAAUAAUUCUAUUAGUUAAAAAAAGUCUUUCGAAUGAGCAGAAUAGACUUAACAACAGUUCCAAUAUACAAUAUAAUACGAAGAAUGUUUAGAACAAAACAAACUUUUGAAUUGAGAAUGAAACAAAAUGAUACAAUAGGGCUACAUUCAUAGCAAUGCUCUUUGAUGUAGACCCUGAUAUAAAUGAAAUAGCGAUAAUGUAAUGCAUAAUAUUGAAACAAAUUAAGUUGGUUUAGCCGCAUCAAUAGACUCUUGGAGGAGGUGGUGGAGAGUUAUAGAGGUAGGGAAGGUGAUAAGCCGGAUGCUUGAGGACAUGACGAGAAGGGGAAGGUGAUUUAUGAAUAUAUGGUGGAGGAGGUGAAGAAGAAGGUGGAGGUGGAGACUUGUAAACAUAUGGAGGAGGCGGUGAAGGUGAUGGUGGGGGAGGAGACUUGUACGCAUAUGGAGGAGGGGGUGACGGGGAAGGCGGUGGUGGGGACUUGUAAACAUAUGGAGGAGGUGGUGAGGGGGAAGGUGGUGGUGGGGACUUGUAGACAUAUGGUGGUGGAGGUGAAGGAGAGGGAGGAGGUGGAGAGUUGUAGACAUAAGAAAGGGGUAGCGAUGCAUAUGGUGGUGGAGGAGAUUUGUAAACAUAUGGAGGCGGUGGUGAAGGAGAGGGAGGUGGAGGAGAUUUGUAGACAUACGGUGGAGGAGGUGAGGGAGAAGGAUGUGGUGGUGACUUGUGCACAUAAGGCGGAGGUGGUGAUGGGGAUGGUGGUGGUGGGGACUUGUAGAUGUAAGAAAGGGGUAGUGAUGCAGAUGGUGGAGGAGGAGACUUGUAGACAUAUGGAGGUGGUGGUGAAGGAGAGGGAGGUGGAGGAGAUUUGUAGACAUAUGGUGGAGGAAGUGAAGGAGAAGGAGGUGGUGGUGACUUGUAAAUAUAAGGUGGAGGUGGUGAUGGGGAUGGUGGUGGUGGGGACUUGUAGAUGUAAGAAAGGGGUAGUGAUGCAGAUGGUGGAGGAGGAGACUUAUAGACAUACUUAGGUUGUGGUGAUGGAGAGGGAGGUGGAGGAGAUUUGUAGACAUAUGGCGGAGGAGGUGAAGGAGAGGGAGGUGGUGGUGACUUAUAAAUAUAAGGUGGAGGUGGUGAAGGAGAUGGUGGUGGUGGAGAUUUGUAUGUAUAUAAUGGAGCUAAUUUGGGGUAGAGGUGUGCGUGUUUUGCAUGAUGUGGGGUGUAUUGUGAUUGUGGAUAUUUUGCAUGUUUUGGAGGAGGUGGAGAUUUAUAUGUAUAUAAUGGAGUUAAUUUGGGGUAGAGGUGUGAGUGUUUUGCAUGAUGUGGGGUAUAUUGUGAUUGUGGAUAUUUUGCAUACUUUGGAGGUGGUGGGGAUUUGUAUGUAUAUAAUUGAGUUAAUUUGGGGUAGAGGUGUGAGUGUUUUGCAUGAUGUGAGGUGUAUUUUGAUUGUGGAUAUUUUGCAUACUUUGGAGGUGGUGGGGAUUUGUAUGUAUAUAUUGGAGUUAAUUUUGGAUAGGGAUGUGAAUGUUUUGCAUGUUCAGGGGUGUACUUUGAUUGUGGAUAUUCUACAUGCUUUGUAGGUAAUGGAGAUUUGUGUUUAUAUAAUGGAGUUAAUUUAGGGUAGAGGUGCGAGUGUUUUGCAUGAUAUAGGGUGUAUUGUGAUUGUGGGUGUUUUGCAUAUUUUGGAGGUGGUGGAGAUUUAUAUGCAUAUAAUGGAGUUAAUUUGGGAUAGGGAUGUGAAUGUUUUGCAUGUUUUGGGGUGUACUUUGAUUGUGGAUAUUCUGCAUGCUUCGUAGAGAGUGGAGAUUUGUGUUUAUACAAUGGAGUUAAUUUGUGAUUGAGGUGUGGGUGUUUCGCGUAAUAAUAUGGGGUUUUUUGUGACCGUGGAUAUUCUACAUGCUUUGUAGAUGGUGGAGAGUAGUUGUUUGGCUGGGAUGCAUAAUAUGGUUUAUAAGCAGCAACAUUGAUACUAAUACUAAUUGCAAUUAGGCAAAAUGCAAUUGCAUAGAUGAGUGGAGUUCCCAUCUUUUAUCAAUGUGUGCAGCUACUCUUGUCUUUGAAAUAUGCUUGCUUUGGAAAUUAAAGUAUGCAGCAUCUCCUUUAUAUAGUGUUACCCUCUUCACAAUUAUGACCUACAAUAUCUCUUUGUGAAAGCAUCAACAUUCUUGUUUAACAUUUUAAAUUAUAUGUAUGCUGCUCCAUUACUCUUUUUCUUUAAAGCAUUUUCAAGUUGAAGACUUGAAAGUACUGGUUCUCCACUAAGUGAGUUCAUAUUCUUUUAGUUUCACAAUAUAAAAUAGAAAUUAACAAAGUCAAGGAAGAGGGUUGGUAAUAGCAUGGCUGGAUAUAAUAUAAUCAUUUGUUAGAUUCUAUCAAAUUUUGUGAAAAAAACACAUUAAAGCCAACUAUGGUUAUUUUCAUUUAUUUAUAGAGAAUCAGUGAUUAUGAUGGAGAAAAUCUAAAUUAUAGUAUAAAACAUCACAAAGUCAAAUGUCAAGGUUGUCUCUCUAAUCUGUCUUUUCCUAGUUCCUAGCUAAAUGAUUUGGCCAAUUCGAAAAAGGGUAAAAGUAAAUGAUCAAAUUGCUACUUCAAAUUAUACGAUCACGUCAUUUUAGUCUAAAUUUUACGAAUAUGCAAAUAUCCUGAAUGUUAAAUGUUAAGUUAAACGGUAUGAGUUAAAUGUUAAAUGCAUCUUUAAUAUCUAUGCAUAGAGGCCAUAUCAUAGAGAUCAUUUUGUCUAAAAAUGUACCAUUACUAAUUUACUAAUUCUAAGGGAGAAAGUACAUGGAUUAAUUUAAUAAUUUACUCAUUUGACUGAACACAUACACAAGAAUAUGAAAAUUUCUGUUAAUAGUCGUUUUAGUUAAAUUGUGAGGGUUGGUCAAUUUUGUACUCAAAUUUUGUGAACUAAGUUAUGUAAAUUUGUAACAAUGGAUAGAAAAAUAAUGCUAGCAUAUCAUAUAAUCUAACACACUCUUUUAAACAAGCUCUCUAUUAUUGAUCGAAAUUUAUGUAUUCCAUUCAAUCAUGCGAGUUUCAUUCUUUAUUUUUUAUUUGGUAGUACACACUCUCAAACUGAUAAAAUCCAAAAAAAUAUUCAGCAAACUAUAGAGUACAUUGAAAAAAAUAGCCUUUAUCUCCAUAGAAAAAAAAUAAUCAAUUUAAUAGUCUAAACUGAUUUGCUUAUUGUUUUUUUCACCAUCAUCAUCACUAUCUUAUGCGGUAUAAGGUCUCUUGUUGAUUGAUAAUUAAGCUCCACCAGAACCAAAUUUCUUUCCCAACAUAAGCACCUGCAGUUUAUCAUAACUUGCAAGCACACCAGCACCAGCUACUGCUCGAAGAAUGUUUGCACCAGCACCUUUGAAGAGAGAUUUUGGACCUUCAGUUUUCACAAUUUGUGAGAAAGCAUCCAAAGAACUCUUGUACUUUACAGCUUCACCUGAUGUCAUCAUCAUUCUUCUACGAACUGUGUCUAAAGGGUAAGAUGCAACACUAGCACCAACCGUAACAGCCCAUCCUAGGGCAAAGCUAGCUAGGAAACUAUCCUGAAAUUUUGUAAAAUAAUAUUUUAGAGCAGCAAAAUUUGGUUAUAAAGAAAACAUAUUAGUAAACGCACAUAAAAACGAUUGAUAACAAAGUUCGCCCAAUUGUGUCAACAUCUUCGACGGUAGAGUGGCCCGAGGAGUUUUUCGGCUAUGCAAUUUUUAAGGUUACAUAGUAUAAUACAAAGUUUAAAUACUAUGGUUUAGUCUACCCCUACCAAUGUUUUAAAAGUUUGACCAAACAAAAAUUUGGACAGUUUCGCUGGUUGGUUUGAUCCUAAUUGUAAUGCAUUCUGAUUGAACCGGAUUGAACUGGUUGAAUUGUUGUUGGUUCAACCGGUUUUUUACGUUUUAAUAUAUAUUUUUUCUUUUCUAUUGAUUUAUAUGUUAUCUGAUUCAAGUGUUUAACUGUAGUUGAACUAUGAUUCGGAGGUUUCACUAGUUUGAUUUUCGAUUUGGUUUUAAAAACAUCGUCCCCUACUCACUUAUGAGUAAAUAUGUGUUAUCUAAAUCCAUAGUAACACAAUCUUUAAGCAUGAUAUGUAAUAAUAAUGAACAUAAAAUGAAGUGUAAUUAAUGCCCCCUUCUUACCUGAAACGUUCCUACCAAGAGCACUGGCUUAAGAGAAUCAUACAGUCCAAAAUACAAACCACGGUAGACAAUGAUUCCAACAACUGAAACAUUGAAGCCGCGAUAAAGACCAGCAAUACCAUCUGAUUGUAAUGUCUUCUUGUAGACAUCAAUCAAGCCAUUGAAUUGCCUCUCUCCACCUUUCUUCGUGGACUUGGCGUCGCUUGCAAGGCGAGUUCGAGCAUAAUCCAACGAGUAAACGAAGAUGGAAGAUGAAGCUCCAGCUGCAGCACCAGAUGCAAUAUUUCCUGCAAAGACUUUCCAAUAUCCAUCCCUCUCUUGCUUGAAGUUAAAUAGCUUCUUAAAGUAGUCUUUGAAUGCAAAGUUGAAUGCCUGUAAUAGAUUAAUCAUGUUAGACAUUGGCCUAAUUAACACACAACAAAGCAAAAAUUUAAUUUAGACAUUGGCCUAAAGAAAUAAUUAAUGCAGUUGAAAAUUUGAAAGGAAACCUGUGUUGGAAAGUAACGGAUAACAUUGACAGUGUUUCCCCUCCAAAGUGAAGCAAAUCCUUCAUCUUUGACUGUUCUUCCAAAACAAUCUCCAAUACCCUUGUAAGGUUCAGAAAGCCUACCAGCCUUAAUCAUCUCAUCUUGAUUUUGAAUCAGAAGCUUCACGCGCUCAAUAGGAGCGGCUGCAGAUUUUGACACUGCUGCGGAAACUCCACCCAUGAGAAAAUCAGUGGCAAAGCUUGCAAAGCUUUUCUCUGAUGGUGAUGGAACAAACACUGC